GGAGGUAUACCCAAGUUCGGCUGAAGGGAUCGGUCUUGAAAACCGACAGGGGUGUCAAAACCCGCGGGGGUUCGAAUCCCUCUACCUCCUCCA
This 93-nucleotide transfer RNA is filed under the name Lysinibacillus sphaericus. RNAcentral's name for it is "tRNA-Ser(tga)". It matches the Rfam family "tRNA". Rfam says of the family: Transfer RNA (tRNA) molecules are approximately 80 nucleotides in length. Their secondary structure includes four short double-helical elements and three loops (D, anti-codon, and T loops). The record is from RNAcentral. Lineage: Bacteria; Bacillati; Bacillota; Bacilli; Caryophanales; Bacillaceae. RNAcentral also lists the same sequence under 6 other names.